UGCGUAGGCUGUCUAGAAAGUUGGAAGUGAAAGCCCAGGGCUCAACCCUGGAAUUGCUUUCAAAACUACUAGACUCGGAUUUGGGAGAGGAUAGCGGAAUUGUCAGUGUAGCAGUGAAAUGCGUAGAUAUUGACAGGAACACCAGUGGCGCAAGCGGCUAUCUGGACCAACAUCGACGCUGAGGCACGGAAAGCGUAGGGGAUCAAACA
This 209-nucleotide ribosomal RNA is filed under the name uncultured bacterium. RNAcentral's name for it is "partial 16S ribosomal RNA". It matches the Rfam family "Bacterial small subunit ribosomal RNA", at positions 568 to 774 of the family's 1533-position model. The record is from RNAcentral.